This 1844-nucleotide long non-coding RNA is filed under the name Paramuricea clavata. Lineage: Eukaryota; Metazoa; Cnidaria; Anthozoa; Malacalcyonacea; Plexauridae. The record is from RNAcentral.
CCCAUAACCUUAACCUGAACGCAUUACAUGAUCUGUAUAUUUGUGUACGUAAUAUAUGGGUGUAGGCAAAAUUUUGUUGAAAAGCUGGCAUAGUUUUUUCUUGGGUAGGAUAACUAAACUGGGUGCAAAUGGUAUCCAUAGCUUAGAGGGUGCAAAUGGUACCCGUAAGAAGAUUGGUGGACAUCAUGGUGGACAAGAAUUUUUGAAAGAUGUGGAUUCUCUCCGGGUACUCCGAUUCUACUUACAAAAAGAUCAGCUUAGGACUGUAAUGACAUAAUUAUUGUAAAGAUAAAAUAGUCUAGGGCUUUUUUGCCGUGGAAAGGUGUAUCUUUCAUCGCCCGUAAUGCAUGUAUAUCGCUGGUUUUGAACGUUAGUUUUCUGCCCCGGGUUAUAUGAAAACAGUUCGCUAGCAGAGAUUAGGUCCUCUCUCUGUCAUGACGACUCAACGACUUCGUGGAAGACAAUUAACAUAAGGCAUGCUAAUCUUACCCCUGUUUGUGGAAGCUCAUCAGGUGCGAUCGGCACACUAGGUUAAGUUAAGUUAAGCUAGGGGCAUGAUCGAGACUCCACAUUCGGGGGUUUCCCUUGCAGGUUUUGAAAGGUUGUAUGCGCGCGCUAGUUAGGUAGGUUAGGCAGCUAGAGAUAGGGCGCUUUCGCUGUUUCUGAAUGUAUACUAUAAGGCAUGUAUACUAUAGUUCAUCAUUAUCAUACUUUUGCGCCAGUAACUUUCUGUGUGAAGUAUUUAACACAACAGGAAAAUAGAAUCUGUUUUUCUGCUGAAAAAUACUUACAGAACCAAUUCAAAGUGGAAAAAAGAAAAUAUUGCAAAAAUGAGAAAAAUAAAAAGGAAAACCGCGAAGUCACUUUGAAUACAAGCAACAAUAGUCCAAGAAUACUAGUUGCAGAAAAAAACCCAACAAAAAAGAAACCAUUUUCUGCUUAAAAUAUCUUGGAUUAGGGGCUUAACGAUAAGAAACGUAGUUCUCGCUCCAAGGUGGAGAAUAGGCUCGUUUCUUUAGGUUGCUAAUGCUUUGCGCGCGCGCUUUAUAAAUUGUAAUAUAAGUUUUUAGUUGAAAAGACCGCCAGGGAAAAUAGGGUGUUUUUAUGUGUUGCUUUGUUGACGGACAAGUUUUCAAAAUAAUGGUUUUCUUGUUUCCUUGCCGUAUGUUGGCACUUUAACUUGUUCCCAAACAUAGCCGCCGUGAAAACACUCUACAGAUCAAGUUUAUGUAUGGUCGCAAUAACAAUAUAGAAUGUUUGCCAUGUUGCAUUCCGUGUUGUCUUGCAUUGUUCAUACAUAAGCUUGGUCGAACCAUGGAUCAUAAAAACACCAUGGUCGAACGCAGCUAAUUAGCAUAAGCGGCGCGCGUGUGCUGCUGUAAUGCGGAGUACAGUCAUUGAGUGUACUCCAUGUGCAAAUAGUGAAGUGUGCUCUAUAUAGUCUUGCAACAAAGUUUCAUGCGCAAAGUUUCAUGCUUAUUAAAAUUCAACGCGCUAAGUUGCAUGCUUGGUAAAAUUAAGGGCAUGAAAAUCAGUGCAUGCUAUAUUUUAAUAGAGUGCGCGCGUUGCAAUUUUCUUGCGCGCGAUAGCAAAAUGCGCCAAAAAACCUCAGUAAAUAUAGAAAUGGACACGUCACCUCUUCAAAAUGCAUCCAAGUGUCCUAACAGCUUUUACAAACUAUCGUAAAAUAUGUUGGGUCGUUGGAUUCAUUUGCCACGCACCUUGUCCUGAACAUAUUUGAAAUAUUUUCAGGUUUCAAGGUUAAGAUAAAUAUACCCUUAUGUGGAACAAUCUGUUCAUAAAAAGGGAUAUUUGUCUUGCGCAAUUUGUAGACUAAAUUUUCG